Non-coding RNA from Paramuricea clavata, 76 nucleotides. The record is from the annotation of a GenBank genome assembly. NCBI's taxonomy places the organism in Eukaryota, Metazoa, Cnidaria, Anthozoa, Malacalcyonacea, Plexauridae.
GCCUCUGUAGCUCAGUUGGUUAGAGCACUGCACCGGAAUGAUCGCAGGGCCGCAGGUUCGAUUCCUGCCAGGGACC